Molecule: long non-coding RNA, 478 nt
Organism: Pseudopipra pipra
Lineage: Eukaryota; Metazoa; Chordata; Aves; Passeriformes; Pipridae
Exons: 2
Source: RefSeq, a predicted model, not a curated record
UGCCGUGAGGGAAGCCCCGGGGGGCGGGAACGGCGCUGCCCCUCAGGGACCCUUUCACCGAAUACACGGACAACAGCAACGACGGUUUGCCACACCCUUCCUCACUUAACAGUGCUGAACUCUUUGUCAAACAGUGGUCGUGUCUUAUCAUCCACCAGCCUCAGUUCACAGCUAUUCUGACUAAGGCCUACCAGUGCUGCCGCAAUACUAAUUCUUCCCCAUCCGGUGCGCCGCAGCAGAUACACUGCAGCGUGGAGUCCCCCCACGUUCACCCACACCGUCUGAGCUCGGCGCCAGAUGUGUCCCACCCGUGACAAGGCCUGCAAGCCAAAACCAGCCAGAGAGCAGCGUUAAGACAGUAGUACUAUUUUUUAUUAGUCUAAAUCACAUCUGAUGGCAAUGUCAAGGGACUUUUCACACCCAGAACUGCAUUUAGAUGUUAGUAAUUUUUGCUCAAUAAAUAAAACAUCUGUAAUGA